UUAGGAGAAGUCGUAACAAGGUUUCCGUAGGU
This 32-nucleotide ribosomal RNA is filed under the name Solanum nigrum (black nightshade). Its description in RNAcentral is "partial 18S ribosomal RNA". The record is from RNAcentral. Lineage: Eukaryota; Viridiplantae; Streptophyta; Magnoliopsida; Solanales; Solanaceae.